Molecule: transfer RNA, 75 nt
Filed under: Dictyoglomus sp. NZ13-RE01
Lineage: Bacteria; Pseudomonadati; Dictyoglomota; Dictyoglomia; Dictyoglomales; Dictyoglomaceae
Description: tRNA-Arg
Rfam family: tRNA
About the family: Transfer RNA (tRNA) molecules are approximately 80 nucleotides in length. Their secondary structure includes four short double-helical elements and three loops (D, anti-codon, and T loops).
Source: RNAcentral
GCGCCUGUAGCUCAAUGGACAGAGCAUCAGCCUCCGGAGCUGAGGAUAGAGGUUCAAAUCCUCUCAGGCGCACCA